RNAcentral lists this transfer RNA (72 nucleotides) under Xylariaceae sp. FL0016. RNAcentral describes it as "tRNA-Trp". It matches the Rfam family "tRNA". From Rfam's summary of the family: Transfer RNA (tRNA) molecules are approximately 80 nucleotides in length. Their secondary structure includes four short double-helical elements and three loops (D, anti-codon, and T loops). Further hydrogen bonds mediate the characteristic L-shaped molecular structure. tRNAs have two regions of fundamental functional importance: the anti-codon, which is responsible for specific mRNA codon recognition, and the 3' end, to which the tRNAs corresponding amino acid is attached (by aminoacyl-tRNA synthetases). tRNAs cope with the degeneracy of the genetic code in two manners: having more than one tRNA (with a specific anti-codon) for a particular amino acid; and 'wobble' base-pairing, i.e. permitting non-standard base-pairing at the 3rd anti-codon position. The record is from RNAcentral. Lineage: Eukaryota; Fungi; Ascomycota; Sordariomycetes; Xylariales; Xylariaceae.
GGACGCGUGGCGCAGUGGUAGCGCACCUGAUUCCAGUCCAGGCGGUCACCCGUUCGAAUCGGGUCGUGUUCA